Molecule: ribosomal RNA, 497 nt
Filed under: uncultured bacterium
Lineage: Bacteria
Description: partial 16S ribosomal RNA
Rfam family: Bacterial small subunit ribosomal RNA
Source: RNAcentral
GAUGAACGCUGGCGGCGUGCCUAAUACAUGCAAGUCGAGCGGACAGACGAGGAGCUUGCCUCUCGGACGGUAGCCGCGGGCGGGAGAGUAACACGUGGAUACCCUACCUAUAAGACUGGGAUCACUUCGGGAAACCGGAUCUAAUACGGUAUAAGAUAGUGAACCGCAGGGUGCAAUGGUGAGAGACGGUGGUGCGGGCACUGAUAGAUGGAUCCGCGCUGGAUUAGCUAGUUGGUAAGGUAACGGCCUACCAAGGCAACGAUGCGUAGCCGACCUGAGAGGGUGAUAGGCCACACUGGAACUGAGACACGGACCAGACUCCUACGGGAGGCAGCAGUAGGGAAUCUUGGGCAAUGGGCGAAAGCCUGACGCAGUAAGGCCGCGUGAGUGAUGAAGGCCUUCGGAUCGUAAAACGCUGUUAUACGGGAAGAACAGAUGUGGCAGUAAAUCUGGAGUUCUUGACGGUACCGAAUCAGAAAGCACCGGCUAACUACGUG